UCUGAUCUAAAGCUCUAAGUUGAGGCUUUUGCUUCAUACCUGAGCUCCUGGAUCGAGAUUAGCUUUCGGGGACCCUUCGUAACUUAUGGUGCCGUUUGAUUUUCCGUGAUCUCUAGCAUUGUGUGAUUAUUACACAAGAACUUCAAAGCAAUCUCAGGAGCUAUCGCUUAGGAUGAUGAUUGUGAUACUAGGGCAGACCUGUGCCUUAGAGACAUAAAACGAAGAUAGACUUAGUUUAAUUAUGUUAAAAACUCUUUAUUUCCUGUUUGAAGACAAUGUAACACUCGUGUUUAAUAAAUAAAAUAUAACUUUGUAUGC
This 318-nucleotide long non-coding RNA is filed under the name Helianthus annuus (common sunflower). RNAcentral's name for it is "hypothetical non coding rna". The record is from RNAcentral. Lineage: Eukaryota; Viridiplantae; Streptophyta; Magnoliopsida; Asterales; Asteraceae.